Haplochromis burtoni (Burton's mouthbrooder) is the source of this 1735-nucleotide long non-coding RNA. RefSeq lists it as uncharacterized. Lineage: Eukaryota; Metazoa; Chordata; Actinopteri; Cichliformes; Cichlidae. The record is from RefSeq and is a predicted model, not a curated record. The transcript is spliced from 5 exons.
AAGUUCAGUUCUCUUUCUCUCUCAGUCUGAUGGUCAUGAUGUUUAGACUGAACCAAGCAGCACUUCUCAUUCCGCUAUUAGUGAUGUGGCAUGUCUUUGCAGGAAUCACUAAAGACGACCGCAGAGCUGUGCUGGUGUCCAGAGGAGACUCCGUGACGCUGACUUGCAAUAUAAGACAUAAUAAUGUGACCCUAGUCUCUUGGACCAACAGCAGAUGUGUUUUUCAAUAUUCCAAUGUGCUGAAUCGCACCCAUUCAAAUUUCUCUUUUCAUAGACUGAAAAUAAAUCGUGAGUUUCCUACAAAGCGAAUUAUUUUUAGUGCUCAGCCUGAAGAUCCCGGACUUUAUACAUGUAGCAUAACAGACAGAAGUGGCAUAAACAGCAUUACAUGGAGUUUAACUGUGUCUGAGCACCCCAAAGAUUCCGCUUCAUCGAAGUAUUUUCUAUACAUACUCCCAUCUGCAAUUGGAAUCAUUCUAUGUGGCAUCACACUAGCUGUCUUUAUCUGUGGUAGGAUGUGCAAAUUGUGAUGAAGACACUGAAUCAGGAUCUGGUCCAGGAUCAGUUUCCUCCUCAGUCAGGAGAAGAGGCAGUUCUUUCUCAACCACAGGGUGGCGCUGUUUGUUGUGAAAAUAAAAAGCAGAGGCAUCACUAUAUGGAGAGGGUGAAUACAAUCUAUGAUAAUGUCUAAGCAGAUUAACAAUCCACAUAAACAGUUUUAAUGAAGGGGAUUUUAAGGGGGCACCAUCAGAGGGAGGACAACGGUGCUACUAUAGCCAAUAGAACAAAUCCCUCUGCUUACACGAAGCAGCCAAUUAGAAGAAGGUUUGUAUUAAAGAACACGAGAAGGGAACUAAACAUGUUGUUUCAGAGACAGGAUGAACUGCAGGUCUACCAAAUAAAUAGGGAUGACAUGAAACUGUGAAUCAGAACAAGUCGACUCCAAGUGUAACUUAAAUGUUCAAGAAUUUUCCUUAAAGUUUUCACGUUAUGACAAUAAUGUAUUUUCAGCUCAAGCUCGUUAAUGUUUUUUCCAUCUAGGUCUUCAUUAUAAGCUUGUUCCAGGGUGAUUGUGUAUUUUUUUUAGCAUUAGUGUGCGUGCGUGCGUGCGCGCGCGCGUGCGUGCGUGUGUGUGUGUGCGUGUGCGUGUGAGUGUUAUUCCAUCUGUAAACAAAAUAACUUGAAAGAAAUUCUGAUAAAACCUUGCAGAGUGGGGUCAUGUUAACGAUCCUUUAACAUUUUGAUUAUGUCCACUGAGGCCUUCAAGGUCAACUUAAUGAUGAUUCUUACAAGUGUAAUACGGAGCUGUUUAAAACUUUGUUUAUUGCUACCAUUGGUUGUGUUGACAACAUAUAAAGGAUAUGAGUGAAAUAGGGUCAAACUUUCAUAAAAGUACUAUCCCCUUAAAUGUAAAAACUGCUCCCUUGGUGGAGGUUUGUGCUCCCGGAACACUUCUUGUAAUAGUUAUAUAUUACAUAAUGUUUUGUUUAUAACUAGUUUAUAUUGAAUUAUUGUUUAAAUAUUAUAUUGAUUAUGAUUUAAUUUGUCAUGUGCUUAAAUUUCAUGCAUCGUUAAAUGAACUGCUUUUUUGUCCCCUGCAAGUAACCACUUCCUGUUCUUGGCAUCACCUUGAAAAUCACACGUAGAAGUGAAGCUUCACUUUGUCUGUCUGUAAUCAUGUUUGAUCCAGAUCAAUCAGACAUUCUCUUUAAUUCAUUCUUAGCUGUGUGCCAUG